Molecule: small RNA, 3003 nt
Filed under: Pongo abelii (Sumatran orangutan)
Lineage: Eukaryota; Metazoa; Chordata; Mammalia; Primates; Hominidae
Description: retained intron
Source: RNAcentral
AAUAUUUACAUUUCCUCUGUCUUUUAAAACUGAACACCUAGGUGGGUUUUGUGGUGGGUGGUGAACGGACAGGUUUGGGCCUGGAUCCCCCACCCGACCCUAGCACCCACAGGUGGGGUUGCCCGCUCUACUGAUACGCCUCCUCUCUCAGCACUGUGGACCUGCUGGACUGGAGCAGCCUCAUCCACAGCAGGACCAAGCUCUCCAAGCACCUGGUGGUCCCCAACGCACAGGUAACAGCCCCGCUCUUCAGUGAGGCCCAACUCAGCGGGGCGCUGGGCUAAGAAGGGAAUUCAGCCUGCCACGUGUGUUUCUUGUUGCACACCCUGGGAACUUAACAUGACCAAGAUCACUGCACACUAUGGCCCCACAGACCCCCUGUGGUCCAGGGGGAAGAAGACAAACCCACUAGUGUCCACAGCGUGCUUGGUGGGACAGAGACCCACGCGGAGCCUUAACACGCCACAAGGAGAGGGGGUCUGGGGGCCUCCCCCAAGUCAUCUGUCUUGUGCAUCAGGCCACCCCAAACUUCAGAGGCCUGAAACGGCAGCAGCCACUCUGCUUCUGCCUCAUGGUUCUGAGGUUGACAGGGCUCAGCUGGGCAGUCCUCCCUUGGGGUCUCCUGGGUACUCACAGAGUGGUGGCGCUGGGACCUGGGGGAGGCUCACUUGUCUGGGAGUUGGUGCUGGCUGUGGCUUGGGCUUUUUCCCAACAUGGCAGCUGGGCUCUAAGGGCCAGUGUCCCCUGAGACAUGAGAGCCAGGCAGAAGCUGGGUGACCUUUUCGUGCCUCGCCUCAGAAGUCACACGGUGUCUUUUCUGCCAAGUUCUGUUUGUUAGAAGCAUAUCACCAGGCCAGCCUGUAUACAGUGGGGAGAGGAAUGAGACUCAUCUGCCUGUGGGAGGGGGGCCCAGGACCUGGCAGACUGCUUGAAACCACAACCUAAACUGGGAUUCGAAGAAAGAACAGAAGCACCUUCAGAAAACAUCCUGCAGAGGCAGCUUUCUAUGGCACAUCUAGCCCCAGUUCACUAAGGGCCCAGCCUCAAACUUAGAGCCCCUGACCCAGAGCCUCGGGGCGCAGUGUGUACAGUGUGGCUGUGCACCAGGGCCACCAGCUGUUGGAGACUUUAGCGCGGUGUAGCAAGGGAUAGAGCGGUACUGUUUGUGCCCAGUGAGGCAAGGCUGCUGGGGCCAGCAAAGGGGUGAGCGGGAGGCCCUGCGGGAUGGGUCCCCACGGCCUCUGAGCACCAGCUCCUUGAAGGCCUCAUCCUGGUGGUUGCCCUGGUCCCUGGCUACGUGUCAGCAUGUGCUGCAGGACCACCCUGUCUGCCCAUAGCCAGGGGUUCUUCCUCCUGGGCCCUCUUCCUGCUCUGUUUGACGAUUGGAUGGUCAGUGUUCACUUGCUCAGUGUCACAUGGGAGCUGCAGGGGGCCCUCCCACAAUGGUGGGGCCUUUGUGAGAACUGCGGAGACUGUUAGAGUACACACUUCGGGGUGCAGGCCUGGACUGAGCCUGGGGCCCACUGACAUGGGCACUGAGCUCCCUCAUGGUACCCCCAGGCCCCACAUAGGACAGUGCACUGGCUGCGUUGGAGGUUCUGGGGCACUGUGCUGCUGUGUCCAGGUGGCCCUCCCUCCUGGCCCUGCAUGAGAGGGUUCCUGUGGGCUGGGAACACUGAGAGAGGUUUAGCCUGGGCCUCAGGGUGGCACUUUCCAGCCCUCGCUGUGGGCUGACCACAUGUUGCACCCCCAGACAGGACAGCUGGAGCCCCUGCUGUCCCGGUUCACUGAGGAGGAGGAGCUACAGAUGACGAGGAUGCUACAGCGGAUGGAUGUCCUGGCCAAGAAAGCCACAGAGAUGGGCGUGCGGCUGAUGGUGGAUGCCGAGCAGACCUACUUCCAGCCGGCCAUCAGCCGCCUGACGCUGGAGAUGCAGCGGAAGUUCAAUGUGGAGAAGCCGCUCAUCUUCAACACAUACCAGUGCUACCUCAAGGAUGCCUAUGACAAUGUAACCCUGGAUGUGGAGCUGGCUCGCCGUGAGGGCUGGUGUUUUGGGGCCAAGCUGGUGCGGGGCGCAUACCUGGCCCAGGAGCGAGCCCGUGCGGCAGAGAUCGGCUAUGAGGACCCCAUCAACCCCACGUACGAGGCCACCAAUGCCAUGUACCACAGGUGCCUGGACUACGUGCUGGAGGAGCUGAAGCACAAUGCCAAGGCCAAGAUGAUGGUGGCCUCCCACAACGAGGACACAGUGCGCUUCGCACUGCACAGGAUGGAGGAGCUGGGCCUGCAUCCUGCUGACCACCAGGUGUACUUCGGACAGCUGCUAGGCAUGUGUGACCAGAUCAGCUUCCCGCUGGGUGAGUGGGGCCCUCCCCGGUGCGAUGGGGUACGGUGCUGGGCCUGGGCCUCAUGGCGUAUCUGCCCCCAUGCAGGCCAGGCCGGCUACCCUGUGUACAAGUACGUGCCCUAUGGCCCCGUGAUGGAGGUGCUGCCCUACUUGUCCCGCCGUGCCCUGGAGAACAGCAGCCUCAUGAAGGGCGCCCAUCGGGAACGGCAGCUGAUGUGGGUAGAGCUCCUGCGGCGGCUCCGAACUUGCAGCUUCUUCCAUCGCCCCACCUAGCACCUGCCAGCCCACCCUCAGCCUCCAGACCCACUCCACCCCCCACAGGCCAUCACCACAGCUGCAGCCAACCCCCAGAUUCACCUUUUUUCACCCCAAACUUGCAGAGCUGCUGGAGGUGGGGUCAGGUGCCUCCCAGCCCUGCCAAUGGUGGGGACACUCAGGUGUGGGCCGAACCUGAUACCUGCCUGGGACAGCCGCUGGGAACUGUUGGGAACUCUCCUCGGAUGUGUGGGCCCAAGGCCCCCACCUCUGUGACCCCCAUGUCCUUGGACCUAGAGGAUUGUCCACCUUCUGCCAAGGCCAGCCCACACAGCCCGAGCCCCUCGGGGAGCGGUGGCCGGGCUGGGGAGGCCUGCCUGUCAAUAAACCACUGUUCCUGC